UCGUCUUCGCUCCCAUAUAUCUCUCUCUCUCUCUCUCUCUCUCUAAUCUCUUGUGUGAUCUUUAUCAUCUUGAAGAAAGCUCAAGGAGGUUGAAGCAUUUUCAAUUCAAAUUUGAAUUUCUAAGACUCCAGUUAGUGAAGAAAAACUGAAAGUGAUUGAAUUGAUUUUUGGAUGCUUGGUUGUGAGAGACAAUGGCGUUGUUUUUUAUGAGGAAAGCUUCGACAGCUGAGUUGGAUGCUUUCUAUCCACUUAGACCAGAAUGCCAAGUUGAUGUCCCGAAGACCCAGUUUAGGCUCAGGGCUGGGAAAACUCUUAGUGCAAGAAGAUGGCAUGCUGCCUUCUCUGAAGACGGUCACUUGGAUAUAGCCAAAGUACUAAGACGAAUCCAACGAGGGGGUGUCCAUCCUGCAAUCAAAGGUGUAGUCUGGGAAUUCUUGUUAGGUUGCUUUGAUCCAAAUAGCACAUUUGAUGACCGGAAUCAGCUCAGGCAGCGCCGGAGGGAGCAGUACAGCAGAUUGAAAUCUGAAUGCCAAAAGAUGGUUCCAGUUAUUGGCAGUGGAAAAUUUCUUACAACACCAAUCAUCACAGAUGAUGGCCAACCAAUAGAAGAAUCAGCAAAUGGCAAUAUAAGUAACUAUGGAGGGGAUGCAAACCAUGCUACUUCAGACAAGAAAGUGAUUCAGUGGAAGCUUUUCUUGCAUCAAAUUGGUUUGGAUGUUGUUCGCACAGAUCGAUCACUUGUCUUUUAUGAGAGUCAAGCUCAUCAGGCAAAACUUUGGGACAUUCUUUCAGUUUAUGCUUGGGUGGACAACGAUAUUGGUUAUGUUCAAGGUGAAUGUUACUGAAUCUCAGUGAUAUUCUAUCAAAGUUGAAUAGUAUAGGUGACAGUUAUAGUAAUUCUUAUUGACGAUGAAGCAGAUGCCUUUUGGUGUUUCGAACGUGCGAUGCGAAGGCUGAGAGAAAAUUUUAGGUGCAGUGCUAGUUCGAUUGGAGUGCAAUCUCAGCUGAGCACACUCUCCCAAGUAAUCAAAACUAUUGAUCCUAAACUUCAUCAGCACCUCGAGGAUCUAGAUGGUGGGGAGUAUUUAUUUGCAUUUCGCAUGCUGAUGGUCCUGUUCCGAAGAGAGUUUUCCUUUGUGGAUUCACUGUAUCUUUGGGAGCUGAUGUGGGCCAUGGAAUACAACCCAAACAUAUUCUCAUCAUAUGAAGUGCCAAGUGGUGGCGCCACACCAUCUAAUGUAAAUGACAAAGAACUAAAGCAAUACGGCAAGUUUGAGAGAAACAUUGUGAAGACAGGAUACACAGAAAAACAUGGUGCACUUUCCAUUUUUCUUGUUGCAAGUGUUCUUGAGACCAAGCAAAAGCAACUUUUAAAGGAGGCUACGGGUCUAGAUGAUGUUGUCAAGAUCUUAGGUGACAUAACUGGAAAUCUGGAUGCUAAAAAGGCAUGUAAUGAGGCAUUGAGGAUUCACAAAAAGUACCUCAAGACUCUGAAGCAAUAGAUAAUUUCCUGGGAUAUCAACUGUUUAAGUUUUGCACCCAGGUGUUGGUGAGUUGGUGACAACAUGGGACCUUCAAUUUUCUCAUCACCUUUUUUCUGUCAUGUUUUCUUUGUACUUGUUUCUCUCUCUCUCUCUCUCUCUCUCUCUCUCUCUCUCUCUUAAAACAGAGAAGCAAUGUGUACCUAAUUGGGCAUCGGCUUGCAUGCUUGUCCCAUAUAGAAAACACAGAGAGAGAAGAAAACAGAGAAGCAUGGUGUCAUAUUAUGUAAAGUCAAAUUAACUAUGGUUAUAGAAUAUAAAAUUUUGAACGAAAUGCUUCUUUGGCAAUGGCAUUAUGAGCUUGCAUUA
Non-coding RNA from Prunus mume (Japanese apricot), 1850 nucleotides. Lineage: Eukaryota; Viridiplantae; Streptophyta; Magnoliopsida; Rosales; Rosaceae. The record is from RefSeq and is a predicted model, not a curated record.